CCUACGGGAGGCAGCAGUGGGGAAUCUUGCACAAUGGAGGAAACUCUGAUGCAGCGAUGCCGCGUGAGUGAAGAAGGCCCUUGGGUUGUAAAGCUCUUUUGUCGGGAAAGAUAAUGACUGUACCCGAAGAAUAAGGUCCGGCUAACUUCGUGCCAGCAGCCGCGGUAAUACGAAGGGACCUAGCGUAAUUCGGAAUUACUGGGCGUAAAGCGCGCGUAGGCGGUUAAGUAAGUUAAUUGUGAAAGCCCAAAGCUCAACUUUGGAAUUGCAAUUAAAACUACUUAGCUAGAGUUUAUCAGAGGAAAGCGGAAUACAUAGUGUAGAGGUGAAAUUCGUAGAUAUUAUGUAGAACACCAGUUGCGAAGGCGGCUUUCUGGGAUAAUACUGACGCUGAGGUGCGAAAGUAUGGGUAGCGAAGAGGAUUAGAUACCCUCGUAGUCCAUACUGUAAACGAUGAUUGUUAGAUGUUGGAAAUUUAUUUUCAGUAUCACAGCUAACGCGUUAAACACUCCGCCUGGGGAGUACGACCGCAAGGUUAAAACUCAAAUGAAUUGACGG
RNAcentral lists this ribosomal RNA (558 nucleotides) under uncultured bacterium. RNAcentral's name for it is "bacterial SSU rRNA". It matches the Rfam family "Bacterial small subunit ribosomal RNA", at positions 338 to 916 of the family's 1533-position model. The record is from RNAcentral.